ACUUCAGAAUUUAUUUAAAAGGCCACUUGCCGUUGCUAAGGAAGUAUUAGCAUCAUGAAACAAAAGGGAUAGGGUGAGAAAAAAGGCUUUGGAGGAAUUGAUGGUGCAUCUGCCUUCCACAACCCCAGAGCACGAGCAAAAGCUUCAUUAGAGAUAUUUUCAUUUUACAGCUGGUUGAAUUUGAUGAUGCAGAACUUGCCGAUAGUGAGACCAACUGCACCUUGACCCACCUGAGGCCAGUCUUGAGAGUCUGGGUUGUGGCGUGAAGUACUUAACCUGGGCCAGGACUGAAAAAGAGGGGAGACUUGAGAGCCUGCAACGUGGCUCCAGGGGUCAUGUGUCAUCUACACAAAAGCUGGGGCCUCUCAAGUUCAUUGUGGCAUUCAGAGAAACAGACCAGCAGAUGAAACAAAUGUAAG
This 419-nucleotide long non-coding RNA is filed under the name Sus scrofa (pig). RNAcentral's name for it is "lncRNA (ENSSSCG00040064220.1)". Lineage: Eukaryota; Metazoa; Chordata; Mammalia; Artiodactyla; Suidae. The record is from RNAcentral.